This 433-nucleotide ribosomal RNA is filed under the name uncultured bacterium. RNAcentral's name for it is "partial 16S ribosomal RNA". It matches the Rfam family "Bacterial small subunit ribosomal RNA", at positions 29 to 507 of the family's 1533-position model. The record is from RNAcentral.
AACGAACGCUGGCGGCAUGCCUAACACAUGUAAGUCGAACGAGACCUUCGGGUCUAGUGGCGCACGGGUGCGUAACGCGUGGGAACCUGCCCUUAGGUUCGGAAUAACUCCCCGAAAGGGGUGCUAAUACCGGAUAAUGUCUUCGGACCAAAGAUUUAUCGCCUUUGGAUGGGCCCGCGUUGGAUUAGCUAGUUGGUAGGGUAAAAGCCUACCAAGGCGACGAUCCAUAGCUGGUCUAAGAGGAUGAUCAGCCAUACUGGGACUGAGACACGGCCCAGACUCCUACGGGAGGCAGCAGUGGGGAAUAUUGGACAAUGGGCGAAAGCCUGAUCCAGCAAUGCCGCGUGAGUGAUGAAGGCCUUAGGGUUGUAAAGCUCUUUUACCCGGGAUGAUAAUGACAGUACCGGGAGAAUAAGCUCCGGCUAACUCCGUG